CUAUUUGGGUAGUGUCAUUGCUGGUUCAUAACGAUGGGUCUCCGUUAACGAGAUAUCAGUUCUCCAACAGAUUAAGGGCAGUCUUGCGGUCUGGUGGUGGCGACGUGUCGGGAUACUUGGCCCACUCCUUCCGUAUUGGGGCCACCACUCAAGCAGGCAUGUUAGGGUUUUCUGAGUCUGCGAUUAAGCAUUUGGGCUUAUCGGUUGUACAUGCGACCCCAUCUGUUGUAAUUUUCUCUCUUGUAGGUUCCCCGCGCUUUGUCUCAUUUAUUUAUUGGGCAGCGCGCAGAGCUGAGCAAAGGUUCUACGGGAGGAACCUAGGUUUUCCUUUUGAAGUGUCAAGGGUUCAUUGGCGAGGCGUUCGAGAGCUCUCCGGGAGCGGACAAUAGAUCUUAUAUUUUGAAUUAAACUGGACUUGGCCCGGUGUAUAGCUCUCUUUCGGGACCACUUGUUUGGUCCGAAAUUGUUCCGCGCCCAUGUUGGCGGGCAUUGCCGCACGCUCGCGGGAUUGAGCGGGCGCUGUGAAAAUUGAACAUGACGGUCGCCAGGUUUGUUCGAGGUCUCGUUGGGAUAGUGGUCAGUCACGUGGAGCUGGAAGGGGAUAACUCUAAUUUAAUGAGGAGAGAUGGAGUCCAUUUUCAGACAUAGGGCUGGACAUCUUUAACCUGGGGUUAGAGUGUGGUGUGGAAUUGUCGCUGGCUGCGGGGGGCGCGAUGCCGACAGGAGGUGAGCACGGUCGACAUCGCGAUGGCGGUGUUCCUGGCCAG
Pelobates cultripes (western spadefoot toad) is the source of this 767-nucleotide non-coding RNA. NCBI's taxonomy places the organism in Eukaryota, Metazoa, Chordata, Amphibia, Anura, Pelobatidae. The record is from the annotation of a GenBank genome assembly.